Molecule: ribosomal RNA, 253 nt
Filed under: uncultured prokaryote
Description: partial 16S ribosomal RNA
Rfam family: Bacterial small subunit ribosomal RNA
Source: RNAcentral
ACGGAGGGUGCAAGCGUUAUCCGGAUUCACUGGGUUUAAAGGGUGUGUAGGCGGGUAUUUAAGUCAGUGGUGAAAUCUCCAGGCUCAACCUGGAAACUGCCAUUGAUACUAUUUAUCUUGAAUCUUGUUGAGGUGGGCGGAAUAUAUCAUGUAGCGGUGAAAUGCUUAGAUAUGAUAUAGAACACCGAUUGCGAAGGCAGCUCACUAAACAAGCAUUGACGCUGAGGCACGAAAGCGUGGGGAUCAAACAGGA